Molecule: transfer RNA, 74 nt
Filed under: Gammaproteobacteria bacterium
Lineage: Bacteria; Pseudomonadati; Pseudomonadota; Gammaproteobacteria
Description: tRNA-Gly
Rfam family: tRNA
About the family: Transfer RNA (tRNA) molecules are approximately 80 nucleotides in length. Their secondary structure includes four short double-helical elements and three loops (D, anti-codon, and T loops).
Source: RNAcentral
GCGGGUGUAGUUCAAUGGUAGAACUUCAGCUUCCCAAGCUGCUAACGUGGGUUCGAUUCCCAUCACCCGCUCCA